RNAcentral lists this long non-coding RNA (1137 nucleotides) under Equus caballus (horse). RNAcentral describes it as "lncRNA (ENSECAG00000049844.1)". The record is from RNAcentral. Lineage: Eukaryota; Metazoa; Chordata; Mammalia; Perissodactyla; Equidae.
CCAUCAACAUCUGUGUACAAGUACUUGAAUGGACAUUACUGUUUGUUUCUUCGCCCCCACCCCGGUUUUAUUGAGAUAUAAUUGACAUACAACAUUGUAUUACUUUAAGGUAUUUCUGGUUUCUUUUCUUUUGUUUGUUUUUUUGAGGAAGAUUAGCCCUGAGCUAACUGCUGCCAAUUCUCCUCUUUUUGCUGAGGAAGACUGGCCCUGAGCUAACAUCCAUGCCAAUCUUCCUCUACUUUAUAUAUGGGACGCCUACCACAGCAUGGCUUGCCAAGUGUGCCAUGUCCGCACCCGAGAUCCAAACCGGUGAACCCCAGGCCGCCGAGAAGCAGAAUGUGCGAACUUAACCACUGCACCACCAGGCCGGCCCCUCUUUCUAGUUUCUUAAUGUGGAAAUUGACGUCCUUGAUUUGAAACCUUUCUUCAUUUCUAAUAUAUUCAUUUAGAACUAUUAAUGUUCCCAACAGUUUGCUUUCGCAAAAUCCUACAAAUUUUUAUGGACAGUGUUUUAAUUUUAAUUCAUUUCAAUUUUUUUUUUUUAUUUUUCUCAUGACUUCUUUGUCUCAUAGAUUAUUUAGAAGUUUUGUUUUCCAAAUAUUUGGAAGAUUUUCCCGAAAUCUUUACGUUAUUGAUUUCUAAUUUUAUUCCAUUGUGGUCAGAGAACAUGCUAUGUAUGACAUGAAUUCGUUUAAAUCUAUUGAAGCUUGUUUUAUGGCCCAGAAUGUGGUAUAUGUUGAUGAAUGUCUCUAGUGCACUUGAGAAGAAUGUGAAUUCUGCUGUUGUUGGAUUGGCUGUUAUAUAAACGUCAAUUAAGGCAAUUAGACGAUCCUGACAUUCAGUUUUUCCAUACUGUCAUUUUUCUUUCUGUUUACUCUGUUUAAUUUGCUCUUUUUCUGAUUUCCCAAUGUGGAAGAUUAAAUCAUUGGUUUUAAAACUUUCUUUUCUAAUGAAUGGUUUACUGCUGACAUUUUCAUAUAAGGACUGCUUUAGCUGCCUACUACAAAUCUUGGUUUGUUUUGUUUUCAUUUUCAUUUAGUUCAAAAUAAUUUCUGACUUACCUUGUGAUUUCUUAUGUGGACCAUGGGUUAUUUACUGCUGCAUUGUUUAAUUUAUAAAUAUUUGCUGAUUUUCUAG